UUCCAUUGGCAUCCUCUUGGACGCCAGCCUAGUGGAGGAA
RNAcentral lists this ribosomal RNA (40 nucleotides) under Campylobacter jejuni. RNAcentral describes it as "partial ribosomal RNA". Lineage: Bacteria; Pseudomonadati; Campylobacterota; Epsilonproteobacteria; Campylobacterales; Campylobacteraceae. The record is from RNAcentral.